CUUAGUCUCUAGAUGUAAAAACCGGGAAAGCCAUAUUAGAAAAAAUAUUUAGAUUUCAAAUUAAUAUGUAGUGCUUUGUUAACAGAGCAUUUAAUGAUCCCUUUGAAUCCUGUUUAUGAGCAAUCAUAUAUUCAUAGGGACCAAUUGAGAUACGCUUUAAGUUAAAAAGGGGAGAUAAUUUUUUUAAUUAAGUUGUACAUUUUUCUUUUUUCUGAUGCAACAUCAAGGAAAUACCAGAAAUAGCCCACCACCCUACGGGUUUCAUCUCUCACCAGAAGAAAUGAGGAGACAGCGGCUUCACAGAUUCGAUAGCCAGUGAGGUGGCAUCUUGGGAAGACAUGGCCUAUUUGUGUAAUUAUUGCCCAUUUGGCUCAUUCCCCAAGCCCCUAAUUCAUUUUAAUUCAUUUUAAACAAAAGCAGAGUACACCGGUAUUGCUCCAGAUCGCUCACAUCACCUGGGACAGUCCCAUGG
This 472-nucleotide small RNA is filed under the name Pan troglodytes (chimpanzee). Its description in RNAcentral is "processed transcript". Lineage: Eukaryota; Metazoa; Chordata; Mammalia; Primates; Hominidae. The record is from RNAcentral.